AUUGAACGCUGGCGGCAUGCCUUACACAUGCAAGUCGAACGGCAGCACGGGAGCUUGCUCCUGGUGGCGAGUGGCGAACGGGUGAGUAAUGCAUCGGAACGUGCCCUGAAGUGGGGGAUAACGUAGCGAAAGUUACGCUAAUACCGCAUAUUCUGUGAGCAGGAAAGCAGGGGAUCUUCGGACCUUGCGCUUUUGGAGCGGCCGAUGUCGGAUUAGCUAGUUGGUGGGUAAAGGCCCACCAAGGCGACGAUCCGUAGCGGGUCUGAGAGGAUGAUCCGCCACACUGGAACUGAGACACGGCCCAGACUCCUACGGGAGGCAGCAGUGGGGAAUUUUGGACAAUGGGCGCAAGCCUGAUCCAGCCAUGCCGCGUGAGUGAAGAAGGCCUUCGGGUU
Molecule: ribosomal RNA, 395 nt
Filed under: uncultured bacterium
Lineage: Bacteria
Description: bacterial SSU rRNA
Rfam family: Bacterial small subunit ribosomal RNA
Source: RNAcentral